Molecule: ribosomal RNA, 603 nt
Filed under: uncultured fungus
Lineage: Eukaryota; Fungi
Description: eukaryotic LSU rRNA
Rfam family: 5.8S ribosomal RNA (bases 208-361)
Source: RNAcentral
AGUAAAAGUCGUAACAAGGUCUCCGUAGGUGAACCUGCGGAGGGAUCAUUACAAGUGACCCCGGUCUAACCACCGGGAUGUUCAUAACCCUUUGUUGUCCGACUCUGUUGCCUCCGGGGCGACCCUGCCUUCGGGCGGGGGCUCCGGGUGGACACUUCAAACUCUUGCGUAACUUUGCAGUCUGAGUAAACUUAAUUAAUAAAUUAAAACUUUUAACAACGGAUCUCUUGGUUCUGGCAUCGAUGAAGAACGCAGCGAAAUGCGAUAAGUAAUGUGAAUUGCAGAACUCAGUGAAUCAUCGAAUCUUUGAACGCACAUUGCGCCCCCUGGUAUUCCGGGGGGCAUGCCUGUUCGAGCGUCAUUUCACCACUCGAGCCUCGCUUGGUAUUGGGCAACGCGGUCCGCCGCGUGCCUCAAAUCGACCGGCUGGGUCUUCUGUCCCCUAAGCGUUGUGGAAACUAUUCGCUAAAGGGUGCUCGGGAGGCUACGCCGUAAAACAAACCCAUUUCUAAGGUUGACCUCGGAUCAGGUAGGGAUACCCGCUGAACUUAAGCAUAUCAAUAAGCGGAGGAAAAGAAACCAACAGGGAUUGCCCCAGUAACG